RNAcentral lists this ribosomal RNA (329 nucleotides) under uncultured bacterium. RNAcentral's name for it is "bacterial SSU rRNA". It matches the Rfam family "Bacterial small subunit ribosomal RNA", at positions 468 to 793 of the family's 1533-position model. The record is from RNAcentral.
UUUGACGUUACCUACAGAAGAAGCACCGGCUAACUCCGUGCCAGCAGCCGCGGUAAUACGGAGGGUGCGAGCGUUAAUCGGAAUUACUGGGCGUAAAGCGCAUGCAGGCGGCCUGUUAAGUCAGAUGUGAAAGACCCGGGGCGUUAACCUCGGAAUUGCAUUUGAAACUGGCAGGCUAGAGUCUUGUAGAGGGGGGUAGGAAUUUCAGGUGUAGCGGUGAAAUGCGUAGAGAUCUGAAGGAAUACCAGUGGCGAAGGCGGCCCCCUGGACAAAGACUGACGCUCAGAUGCGAAAGCGUGGGGAGCAAACAGGAUUAGAUACCCUGGUAG